AACACGGAGCUUGCUCUGUGGGAUCAGUGGCGAACGGGUGAGUAACACGUGAGCAACCUGCCCCUGACUCUGGGAUAAGCGCUGGAAACGGCGUCUAAUACUGGAUAUGUGACGUGACCGCAUGGUCUGCGUCUGGAAAGAAUUUCGGUUGGGGAUGGGCUCGCGGCCUAUCAGCUUGUUGGUGAGGUAAUGGCUCACCAAGGCGUCGACGGGUAGCCGGCCUGAGAGGGUGACCGGCCACACUGGGACUGAGACACGGCCCAGACUCCUACGGGAGGCAGCAGUGGGGAAUAUUGCACAAUGGGCGCAAGCCUGAUGCAGCAACGCCGCGUGAGGGACGACGGCCUUCGGGUUGUAAACCUCUUUUAGCAGGGAAGAAGCGAAA
Molecule: ribosomal RNA, 385 nt
Filed under: Microbacterium sp. GUFBSama06-17
Lineage: Bacteria; Bacillati; Actinomycetota; Actinomycetes; Micrococcales; Microbacteriaceae
Description: bacterial SSU rRNA
Rfam family: Bacterial small subunit ribosomal RNA
Source: RNAcentral